GGCUGGUCCAAAGGGAGUGAAUUAUCUUGAUUGUUCACAGUUAGUUACAGAUGGGACUCCUUGUUCUAUUCUUUCCCCACUUCUCACUAUUGCACUUGACUAGUCUUAA
Unclassified non-coding RNA from Aotus nancymaae (Ma's night monkey), 109 nucleotides. It matches the Rfam family "Y RNA". From Rfam's summary of the family: Y RNAs are components of the Ro ribonucleoprotein particle (Ro RNP), in association with Ro60 and La proteins. The Y RNAs and Ro60 and La proteins are well conserved, but the function of the Ro RNP is not known. NCBI's taxonomy places the organism in Eukaryota, Metazoa, Chordata, Mammalia, Primates, Aotidae. The record is from Ensembl.